Molecule: long non-coding RNA, 245 nt
Filed under: Phaseolus vulgaris (common bean)
Lineage: Eukaryota; Viridiplantae; Streptophyta; Magnoliopsida; Fabales; Fabaceae
Description: long non-coding RNA (PVUL_LNC000658)
Source: RNAcentral
GUACACGUGCCAUCAUCUGGAGCAUCCUUGACUUGGGCGCUACUUCUGACUCUCCUUUGGCUAAGUUACUUAUGCAUGAUACUACUCAGUGCAUAGUUGUCUUGGAGCGCGAUCUCUACUGGAUUGGCGAGUUAGGGUGCCUUCGUACACACCUUCCCUGUGGUCUCGCCGGCCGCCUUCAUGAUCUGCACCACCUGUUUCACCGUGUAUGCUCAAGCAAGCUGUCCCCCGACCUCAUCCUCUGG